UAGGGAAUCUUCCACAAUGGACGCAAGUCUGAUGGAGCAACGCCGCGUGAGUGAAGAAGGCUUUCGGGUCGUAAAACUCUGUUAUUGAAGAAGAACGUGUGUGACAGUAACUGGUCAUGCAGUGACGGUAUUCAAUCAGAAAGUCACGGCUAACUACGUGCCAGCAGCCGCGGUAAUACGUAGGUGGCAAGCGUUAUCCGGAUUUAUUGGGCGUAAAGCGAGUGCAGGCGGUCUUUUAAGUCUGAUGUGAAAGCCUUCGGCUUAACCGAAGAAGGGCAUCGGAAACUGGGAGACUUGAGUGCAGAAGAGGAGAGUGGAACUCCAUGUGUAGCGGUGAAAUGCGUAGAUAUAUGGAAGAACACCAGUGGCGAAGGCGGCUCUCUGGUCUGUAACUGACGCUGAGGCUCGAAAGCGUGGGUAGCAAACAGGAUUAGAUACCCUGGU
Molecule: ribosomal RNA, 444 nt
Filed under: uncultured bacterium
Lineage: Bacteria
Description: partial 16S ribosomal RNA
Rfam family: Bacterial small subunit ribosomal RNA
Source: RNAcentral